Molecule: transfer RNA, 76 nt
Filed under: Clostridium sp. 19966
Lineage: Bacteria; Bacillati; Bacillota; Clostridia; Eubacteriales; Clostridiaceae
Description: tRNA-Ala
Rfam family: tRNA
About the family: Transfer RNA (tRNA) molecules are approximately 80 nucleotides in length.
Source: RNAcentral
GGGGGUUUAGCUCAGCUGGGAGAGCACCUGCCUUGCACGCAGGGGGUCAAGGGUUCGAAUCCCUUAAUCUCCACCA